ACAUGUGUGAUACGGGAUGUAUCCCAUGUAGACAAGAGAGCUACGUGAGAGAUAAAUGUAGCUAGGUCGCAUGAGUGAUUCCAAGUGAAUGACACCAUGUAGACAAGAGGCUACGAGAUAAAUCGGCUAGGUCGCAUGAGUGGUACUAAGUGUUCACCAUGUGUACAAGAGAGCCGAAUUAAAUGAGAUAUGAUGGUGGGG
This 201-nucleotide long non-coding RNA is filed under the name Gossypium barbadense (sea-island cotton). RNAcentral describes it as "long non-coding RNA (GBAR_LNC011320)". The record is from RNAcentral. Lineage: Eukaryota; Viridiplantae; Streptophyta; Magnoliopsida; Malvales; Malvaceae.